UACGAAGGGGGCUAGCGUUGCUCGGAAUCAUUGGGCGUAAAGCGCGCGUAGGUGGCCUCAUAAGUCCGCUGUGAAAGUCAAAGGCUCAACCUUUGAAAGCCGGUGGAUACUGUGAGGCUAGAGUACGGAAGAGGCGAGUGGAAUUCCUGGUGUAGCGGUGAAAUGCGCAGAUAUCAGGAGGAACACCGGUGGCGAAGGCGGGUCUCUGGGCCGAAACUGACGCUGAGGAGCGAAAGCGUGGGGAGCAAACAGG
This 253-nucleotide ribosomal RNA is filed under the name uncultured bacterium. RNAcentral describes it as "partial 16S ribosomal RNA". It matches the Rfam family "Bacterial small subunit ribosomal RNA", at positions 524 to 776 of the family's 1533-position model. The record is from RNAcentral.